UUAAAUUUUAUUUAUUUAUUUAAUUUAAUUUAAUUAAUUAAUUUAAUAAAAAUAAUUUUAAUAAAAUAAGUUUAAGUAUUUUUUAAAGAAAAAAUAAUUUUAAUUAUAGUUUAUUUGUAUUGUAAAAGAAAAUUGAAAUAUUAUGAAAAAUUUUUAUUAAAAAAGAAAAUUUAAUUAAUUGUACCUUGUGUAUCAGGGUUUAUUAAAUAAAAAUUUAUUAUAAUAAAUUUUUUCGAAUUUUAAAGAUUUAAUUAUAUAAAAAAGUUACUGUGGAAUAAUUAUUUUUAAUAUAUAAUUAGAAAUGAAAUGUUAAUCGUUUUAAAAUAUAUCUAGUUUUUUAAGAAAUAAAUUUAAUUUAGAUUUGUAAAUUAAAAGUAUUAUUUUAUUAAUAUUUUUAUUUGGCAAAAUUAAUAUUUUUAGGGAUAAGCUUAAAAAUAAAUUUUUAAAUUUUUAUAAGAUAGUUAAUAAAUGUAAGCUUAAAAAUAGUUAUCAUUAAAAAUUUUGUUAUAAUUUAUUUUAAAUUUUUUAUUAUUUAUUUUAAAUUAAAUUAUUUAUUAAAAUAUAAAUUUUAAUAAAUUAAAAUUUAUUAAUUAUGAUAAAAUUAGUAUAUAGAAUUUAUAAUAAUUAUUUAAAAUGAAAGGUUUAAAUAAGGAAUUCGGCAAAUUAUAUAUUCACCUGUUUAUCAAAAACAUGUCUUUUUGAAUUUAAUUUAAAGUCUAACCUGCCCACUGAUAAAUAUUAAAGGGCCGCAGUAUUUUGACUGUGCAAAGGUAGCAUAAUCAAUAGUUUUUUAAUUGAAAGCUUGUAUGAAUGGUUGAAUGAGAUAUAUACUGUCUUUUUUAAAUUUUUUUAGAAUUUUAUUUUUUAAUUAAAAAGUUAAAAUAAAAUUAAAAGACGAGAAGACCCUAUAGAUCUUUAUUUUUAUUUAGAUAAAAAUUAAAAAGAAUUAUUAAAUUUUUAUUUAAAUAAAAAUUUUACUGGGGUGGUAUUAAAAUUUAAUUAACUUUUAUAAAAAAAUUACAUUAAUUUAUGAAUAUUUGAUCCAAUUAUAUUGAUUAAAAAAUUAAGUUACCUUAGGGAUAACAGCGUAAUUUUUUUUUAGAGUUCAUAUCGACAAAAAAGAUUGCGACCUCGAUGUUGGAUUAAGAGUUAUUUUAGGUGUAGAAGUUUAAAGUUUAAGUCUGUUCGACCUUUGGAUUCUUACAUGAUCUGAGUUCAAACCGGUGUAAGCCAGGUUGGUUUCUAUCUUUAAUAAAAUUAUUAUAUUAUAGUACGAAAGGACCUAAUAUAAAAAAUAUAAAUUUUAAAAUUAUGAAUUAUAAUAAUAUUUAAUAA
RNAcentral lists this ribosomal RNA (1335 nucleotides) under Armigeres subalbatus. RNAcentral describes it as "large subunit ribosomal RNA". Lineage: Eukaryota; Metazoa; Arthropoda; Insecta; Diptera; Culicidae. The record is from RNAcentral.